RNAcentral lists this ribosomal RNA (773 nucleotides) under uncultured Neocallimastigales. Its description in RNAcentral is "partial large subunit ribosomal RNA". It matches the Rfam family "Eukaryotic large subunit ribosomal RNA", at positions 26 to 646 of the family's 3401-position model. The record is from RNAcentral. Lineage: Eukaryota; Fungi; Neocallimastigomycota; Neocallimastigomycetes; Neocallimastigales.
CGCAUCUGUGCAUGCAGCAUAUCAAUAAGCGGAGGAAAAGAAACUAACAAGGAUUCCCUUAGUAACGGCGAGUGAAGCGGGAAGAGCUCAAAUUUGAAAUCUUCAAGGUUUUACCUUGACGAAUUGUAGUUUAAAGAAGUGUUUUCUGUUGAAGUUUUGGUAAAAGUUCUUUGGAAUAGGACAUCAUAGAGGGUGAGAAUCCCGUAUUUGACCAUUAUUUUCAGCUGUGUGAUACACUUUCAAUGAGUCGGAUUGUUUGGGAAUGCAGUCCAAAAUGGGUGGUAAAUUUCAUCUAAAGCUAAAUAUUGGCGAGAGACCGAUAGCGAACAAGUACCGUGAGGGAAAGAUGAAAAGAACUUUGAAAAGAGAGUUAAACAGUACGUGAAAUUGUCAAAAGGGAAGCGUUUGACACCAGUGUUGUUUUCUCGAAAAUCAAUUAAAAAGAGUUAGAUUUUGUUGUGUAUUGACCUUAACAGCUUGCAUUUCAAUUUUCUUGCUUUUUUUAUGCACUUUUCGUUUAACAAGUCAACAUCAGUUUCUUUUGUUGUAAAAAGGUCAUUGGAAGGUGGCUUUCUUUUCGGAGAAAGUGUUUAUAGCCUUUGACUCCUGCAAUCGGAGAGACUGAGGUCUGCAGCGUAGAUCCUUCGGGGUUAGAUACAUUUGUGCUAAGUUAUAGCUUUUUAUAGACAACUUGUUGACUAUGAUUAGUCUUGUAGCUUACUCGCUUAUGCUAUUUUACCUACGCUUAGGAUGUUGACACACGCGCGUGCUCG